GCAGGGAGAAAAUAUCAUUCAAAAUAAUAUUUUUCUCUUUUAUAUUAUUUUUAUAAAUAAAUUAAAUUUUAUAUUAUUUAUGUAAAUAAAUUUUUUUUUUUAUAUUAUUUAGGAAAAGAGCUGUGGCCUUCGAAACAGAAGUGAGGAAGAUCUUGUCGGCCCAUUGAUCUCCCUUUGAUGAGCAGGUGGACGACGGGACCACGCGAAGACCUUGUCCUCCAACUCCUCUUUGAGGUGGUGGCCCCACUGCUCGUACUCGGAGUCCUCGCCGGGCCCAGCGGGCAGCGACAGUUACAGAUGAGAACGGUCGCC
RNAcentral lists this long non-coding RNA (312 nucleotides) under Elaeis guineensis (African oil palm). Its description in RNAcentral is "long non-coding RNA (EGUI_LNC031998)". The record is from RNAcentral. Lineage: Eukaryota; Viridiplantae; Streptophyta; Magnoliopsida; Arecales; Arecaceae.